RNAcentral lists this non-coding RNA (27 nucleotides) under Rattus norvegicus (Norway rat). Lineage: Eukaryota; Metazoa; Chordata; Mammalia; Rodentia; Muridae. The record is from RNAcentral.
UAUUAAAAAUUUUAGGUGUUUAAAAGC